CCGGUCAGACGCUUGCAGGAGGAUUGUGCGCAGGUGAUAAUCAUCACUGGAAGCCGGUUCGACAUGGUAGAGGAAGGUUGUGGGUCUCCUACUACUGUUCCUCAGAACUUCUGUAAUGAGUCUCCUACCGGACUAUUAUGUGGCAUGGAUGCGAUGAAAACCAAAGACCAGCCAAUAGCGAGCAAAAAAA
Molecule: long non-coding RNA, 190 nt
Organism: Branchiostoma floridae (Florida lancelet)
Lineage: Eukaryota; Metazoa; Chordata; Leptocardii; Amphioxiformes; Branchiostomatidae
Exons: 2
Source: RefSeq, a predicted model, not a curated record